Molecule: ribosomal RNA, 606 nt
Filed under: Triticum aestivum (bread wheat)
Lineage: Eukaryota; Viridiplantae; Streptophyta; Magnoliopsida; Poales; Poaceae
Description: partial small subunit ribosomal RNA
Source: RNAcentral
AUGACGAGGCCAAAGAGAGCGGGUGGUAUUGGUUUUAGAGACAUGCACCUGUUCAAUUUAGCCCUUCUUGCCAAACAAGGGUGGAGGCUGAUUCAGAACCCGGAGAGUCUAUGUGCCCGGGUGCUCAAGUCUAAAUAUUACCCAAACGGCAACCUGUUGAACACCGUCUUUGCGUCGGAUGCGUCGCCUGUGUGGAGAGGUAUUGAAGCAGGGCUGGAGUUGCUGAAAAAGGGCGUCAUCUGGAGAGUGGGCAAUGGAAGAGAUAUUCAGAUCCAACGGGACCAGUGGUUACCAAGGAAAGAGGGUCUGAUGACCGCGGCAUUCAUAAGAAGAUCACGUCUUCGGUGGGUGAACCAACUCAUGCUCCCAGAUAUGAAGGAAUGGAAUGUUCCACUUAUCAAACAAAUUUUCUACCCUUUCGAUGCUGAUGAUAUAUGUAGAAUCCCAAUCCCUAGAUCGGAUGUGAGGGACUGCAUUGCCUGGCACCCUGAGAAGAAUGGGAUAUUCACAGUGAGGAGCGCUUAUAAGUUGGCGGCGGCGGCAAAGAAUAACGCGGCUUUGGAGGCCUCGAGCUCGACAAACAAUUCGGAGGACCGUAGCAUAUGA